Molecule: long non-coding RNA, 1264 nt
Organism: Pogoniulus pusillus (Red-fronted tinkerbird)
Lineage: Eukaryota; Metazoa; Chordata; Aves; Piciformes; Lybiidae
Exons: 5
Source: RefSeq, a predicted model, not a curated record
GCUUGCCAGGCCUAACGCGCCGCGGCUGUCCUCUGCGGGGAGCGAGCUGAGAGGCGCCGGGACCGCCGGGACCGCCCUGCCGCCAGCUGCCCCACCUGAAGGAGGCUGUGGAAAGUGAGACAGCAAAGGCAGCAUGGGGUAGCAAUGGAACGAGUUCAGGAAAGGAGAGCACGGACCUGAUACAGACACCUGUACCCCUCCUUACUGCAUGGCGCUACAACUUCUCUCUCGCUUUGCAAGAUCUAGAAAGCUGUAGUACACUCAAGUGCUCCAAAUCCAAGCCUCUUGCACAAGACAAUAGGGAAAAAAAAAGGAGGACUAAGAAGAGAAAUGCAUAAGAUUUGAAACCACUGAGGAAACUCAGAUUGUGGAUGGACAUGACAGAUCAAUACCUCCAGGAAACCUCCUUGUCUUCCAAGAGACGCUUGAGCUGUGCCUUGACACGGAUACUGAAGUCGAAGCAUAAUCUUGCCUAAGGCCUGUAAAUUCCAAGAAGAGGAUGAUUCAGCUCCUGAUAAGUGAUGAUUAACUCUUAACAUGUACUUAAUCUUGAAAAAUACACAGCAACUUCUUAAUAUGCUUCCCCCCUGCCUUGGUGGCUGUGAAGAGAGUGUGCCUACAUGCACGUAUCCUACUGCCAUUCUCCGCGGGAUUAAGUGGGCAACAACCAUCACGUGCUCAAACGUCCUGCACCAGCUGCUACUACGAGGACGAGAUACAACCACUACACCUGGCACAGAUUAGAAGAAAAACAGUGUUUUUCCUUGCAGUUUACCAGUGACCUGAUUCCUUAAAGAGCUAAGUCUGAAGUCUUCUUUUAAAUCUCAAUCUGAAGGAGAUGAGUGCAGCUGCCACUUCAGCAGUGCAAUCCUUUGACAGUCACAAGUUUAUUUAUAACUUUCACAUAAUAGCAGAGAUUUUCCAAGCUGUGACUCUAUGUAUUUGCCAGCUGUGCUACUCAUUAGCUACCAUGUAAAGCUUUACAUGAUUAGCUAUCAUGUAAAGUCUCACAUUAGCUAACUUAUUUGCUGAAGGUAACAAGGGACACUAGACACCUGGGUGGGCUCGACUGCUAACAAGAGCAUCGCUCCAGCCUGCUCAGCCUGGUUGCUGCAGCCAGAGUGUAGCUCUGAUUUCCUCCCUAUAUUUUAACUGUAUUUUAUUGACCAGCAUGUUACUUGGCAUUUUCUCCUCUGUCCUCAUUUCUGAAUUGCUCUUGGGUUUCAUCUCAUAUUUUCCUCCUUGAUGUCUCACAUGGCACUAA